Molecule: long non-coding RNA, 932 nt
Organism: Cyprinus carpio (common carp)
Lineage: Eukaryota; Metazoa; Chordata; Actinopteri; Cypriniformes; Cyprinidae
Source: RefSeq, a predicted model, not a curated record
GUGCUGUUUUCAGAACUUUACAUUUGUGAAUAAAGUAUUUUAAUAUGAGAAGUUAACAAUUUACAACAAAGUCUACACUUUUAUCCUCCAAAUGAACCCAAAUGAACUCCAAAUUUCAACAUGUCCCAAGUAAUGGAUGGAGACUAGAUAUUCUUUGUUUAAUCCAAUGACAUACUUCAGUCCAAAACGAAUUAACCAGAUAACAAUGGAGAAAUAAGUGUUCAACAGUUUCUACAUCAUUAUUACAGAAAUGACAUCUAUUAGAAUCCAUAUUAAAUCUUAAUCUCAGAAAUUCUUUAGCAGGAUAAAUAUCGUACAACAUUUUAAAGUGCACUUCUUUAUGUUUUGGUGGAAGAGGAAAUAACAAAUAUUUGCAUCUAAAUUCAUUAACUAAUUUCCUAUUUAGAUGUUGAUCUAUAUGUUAUAUGUUAGCAUGUUAAGGAAUACGUGACCAGGCGGUUUCUGAAGCAGCGCUUCGAAACAAAAGAGUCAAAUGUUUCGAAGCUUCAUGAAUCAUGAUUCGGUGAUUCCCGGAGCCACCGCUGGCGGCAGUAGUGCGCUGCUGAGGCUCUGGCUGAAAUAAACACAGAAGAAGUCGCAUUCCGUCCGUCCACGUGCGAGUCGAGCAGCGUGAGGCUCGAGGAUCGGCAGCAACAAGGACAGGAGUCACGUGGAGGAUUCAUCUCAGCACGUGCUCUGCUUGUGCGCCUAAUGAUCAAUAAUGAGAUUCGGGGAAUAAGUUCUUCUUGUGUUUGUCUGUUAUGGUGUGAGACUUGCAUUUUGUAGUUCUGUUCUGUGGAAUCCAGUAAAUUAGGUUUUUUACAGUCUUUCUGUAAUCGGGUUGCUCGGAUGCUUCAUGCAAUCAGUGCAAAAACCUGUAAAUAUUGUCUAGUUUUAAAAUAAUAAUAAUAAAGACAUUCUGGCUGACGUUA